UAAGGAAUAUUGGUCAAUGGACGCAAGUCUGAACCAGCCAUGCCGCGUGAAGGAAGACGGCCCUACGGGUUGUAAACUUCUUUUGUACGGGAAAAAAUCUCCGGUCGUGAAUCGGAGCUGAUGGUCCCGUAAGAAUAAGCAUCGGCUAACUCCGUGCCAGCAGCCGCGGUAAUACGGAGGAUGCAAGCGUUAUCCGGAUUCAUUGGGUUUAAAGGGUGCGCAGGCGGAAUGAUAAGUCAGUGGUGAAAUCCUACGGCUCAACUGUAGAACUGCCAGUGAUACUGUCGAUCUUGAGUACGCUGGGAGUGGGCGGAAUGUGUCAUGUAGCGGUGAAAUGCUUAGAUAUGACACAGAACACCGAUCGCGAAGGCAGCUCACUAAACUGUAACUGACGCUCAGGCACGAAAGCGUGGGGAGCAAACA
Molecule: ribosomal RNA, 423 nt
Filed under: uncultured prokaryote
Description: bacterial SSU rRNA
Rfam family: Bacterial small subunit ribosomal RNA
Source: RNAcentral